UAAGUUAAUAAGGGCGCACGGUGGAUGCCUUGGCACUAGGAGCCGACGAAGGACGUGACAAACGACGAUAUGCCUUGGGUAGCUGUAAGUAAGCGAUGAUCCAGGGAUUUCCGAAUGGGGGAACCCAACAGGUAAUACCUGUUACCUACAUCUGUUAAGGAUGUGAGGAGGAAGACGCAGUGAACUGAAACAUCUAAGUAGCUGCAGGAAGAGAAAGCAAAAGCGAUUGCCUUAGUAGCGGCGAGCGAAACGGCAGAAGGGCAAACCGAAGAGUUUACUCUUCGGGGUUGUAGGACUGCAAUGUGGACUCAAAGAUUAUAGAAGAAUGAUUUGGGAAGAUCAGCCAAAGAGAGUAAUAGCCUCGUAUUUAAAAUAGUCUUUGUACUUAGCAGUAUCCUGAGUACGGCGGGACACGUGAAAUCCCGUCGGAAUCUGGGAGGACCAUCUCCCAACCCUAAAUACUCCCUAGUGACCGAUAGUGAACCAGUACCGUGAGGGAAAGGUGAAAAGCACCCCGGGAGGGGAGUGAAAUAGAACCUGAAACCGUGUGCCUACAACAAGUUCGAGCCCGUUAAUGGGUGAGAGCGUGCCUUUUGUAGAAUGAACCGGCGAGUUACGUUAUGAUGCGAGGUUAAGUUGAAGAGACGGAGCCGUAGGGAAACCGAGUCUGAAUAGGGCGCCUUAGUAUCAUGACGUAGACCCGAAACCAUGUGACCUACCCAUGAGCAGGUUGAAGGUGCGGUAAGACGCACUGGAGGACCGAACCAGGGCACGUUGAAAAGUGCUUGGAUGACUUGUGGGUAGCGGAGAAAUUCCAAACGAACUUGGAGAUAGCUGGUUCUCUCCGAAAUAGCUUUAGGGCUAGCGUCGACAUUAGAGAUUCUUGGAGGUAGAGCACUGUUUGGGUGAGGGGUCCAUCCCGGAUUACCAAUCUCAGAUAAACUCCGAAUGCCAAUGAAUUAUGGUCGGCAGUCAGACUGCGAGUGCUAAGAUCCGUAGUCGAAAGGGAAACAGCCCAGACCACCAGCUAAGGUCCCAAAAUAAUUGUUAAGUGGAAAAGGAUGUGGGGUUGCACAGACAACUAGGAUGUUAGCUUAGAAGCAGCUAUUCAUUCAAAGAGUGCGUAAUAGCUCACUAGUCGAGUGACCCUGCGCCGAAAAUGUACCGGGGCUAAACAAUUUACCGAAGCUGUGGAUACCUUUAUAGGUAUGGUAGGAGAGCGUUCUAUGUGUGAUGAAGGUAUACCGUGAGGAGUGCUGGAACGCAUAGAAGUGAGAAUGCCGGUAUGAGUAGCGAAAGACAGGUGAGAAUCCUGUCCACCGUAAGACUAAGGUUUCCAGGGGAAGGCUCGUCCGCCCUGGGUUAGUCGGGACCUAAGGAGAGACCGAAAGGUGUAUCCGAUGGACAACAGGUUGAUAUUCCUGUACUAGAGUAUGUAGUGAUGGAGGGACGCAGUAGGCUAACUAAAGCAGACGAUUGGAAGAGUCUGUCUAAGCAGUGAGGUGUGAAUUGAGUCAAAAUGCUUAAUUCUAUAACAUUGAGCUGUGAUGGGGAGCGAAGUUUAGUAGCGAAGUUAGUGACGUCACACUGCCAAGAAAAGCUUCUAGCGUUUAAACAUACUCUACCCGUACCGCAAACCGCACAGGUAGUCGAGGCGAGUAGCCUCAGGUGAGCGAGAGAACUCUCGUUAAGGAACUCGGCAAAAUGACCCCGUACUUCGGGAGAAGGGGUGCUGACUUAAAGUCAGCCGCAGUGAAUAGGCCCAAGCAACUGUUUAUCAAAAACACAGCUCUCUGCUAAAUCGUAAGAUGAUGUAUAGGGGGUGACGCCUGCCCGGUGCUGGAAGGUUAAGAGGAGUGCUUAGCGUAAGCGAAGGUAUGAAUUGAAGCCCCAGUAAACGGCGGCCGUAACUAUAACGGUCCUAAGGUAGCGAAAUUCCUUGUCGGGUAAGUUCCGACCCGCACGAAAGGCGUAAUGAUUUGGGCACUGUCUCAACGAGAGACUCGGUGAAAUUUUAGUACCUGUGAAGAUGCAGGUUACCCGCGACAGGACGGAAAGACCCCAUGGAGCUUUACUGCAGUUUGAUAUUGAGUGUCUGUACCACAUGUACAGGAUAGGUAGGAGUCUAAGAAAUCGGGACGCCAGUUUCGAAGGAGACGCUGUUGGGAUACUACCCUUGUGUUAUGGCCACUCUAACCCAGAUAGGUGAUCCCUAUCGGAGACAGUGUCUGACGGGCAGUUUGACUGGGGCGGUCGCCUACCUAAAAGGUAACGGAGGCGCCCAAAGGUUCCCUCAGAAUGGUUGGAAAUCAUUCGCAGAGUGUAAAGGUAUAAGGGAGCUUGACUGCGAGAGCUACAACUCGAGCAGGGACGAAAGUCGGGCUUAGUGAUCCGGUGGUUCCGUAUGGAAGGGCCAUCGCUCAACGGAUAAAAGCUACCCUGGGGAUAACAGGCUUAUCUCCCCCAAGAGUUCACAUCGACGGGGAGGUUUGGCACCUCGAUGUCGGCUCGUCGCAUCCUGGGGCUGUAGUCGGUCCCAAGGGUUGGGCUGUUCGCCCAUUAAAGCGGCACGCGAGCUGGGUUCAGAACGUCGUGAGACAGUUCGGUCCCUAUCCGUCGCGGGCGUAGGAAAUUUGAGAGGAUCUGCUCCUAGUACGAGAGGACCAGAGUGGACUUACCGCUGGUGUACCAGUUGUCUUGCCAAAGGCAUCGCUGGGUAGCUAUGUAGGGAAGGGAUAAACGCUGAAAGCAUCUAAGUGUGAAACCCACCUCAAGAUGAGAUUUCCCAUGAUUAUAUAUCAGUAAGAGCCCUGAGAGAUGAUCAGGUAGAUAGGUUAGAAGUGGAAGUGUGGCGACACAUGUAGCGGACUAAUACUAAUAGCUCGAGGACUUAUCCA
This 2897-nucleotide ribosomal RNA is filed under the name Streptococcus pneumoniae GA17328. RNAcentral's name for it is "bacterial LSU rRNA". It matches the Rfam family "Bacterial large subunit ribosomal RNA". The record is from RNAcentral. Lineage: Bacteria; Bacillati; Bacillota; Bacilli; Lactobacillales; Streptococcaceae.